Molecule: ribosomal RNA, 370 nt
Filed under: uncultured eukaryote
Lineage: Eukaryota
Description: partial 18S ribosomal RNA
Rfam family: Eukaryotic small subunit ribosomal RNA
Source: RNAcentral
CAAUAGCGUAUAUUAAAGUUGUUGCAGUUAAAAAGCUCGUAGUUGGACCUUGGACCUGGACAGGCGGUCCGCCUCACGGCGUGUACUGUCUUGCUGGGUCUUUCCUCUUGGUGAUCUGUUGUUUCGGCAGCAGGGAACCAGGACUUUUACUUUGAAGAAAUUAGAGUGUUCAAAGCAGGCUCGACGCCGGAAUAUAUUAGCAUGGAAUAAUAAAAUAGGACGUGCGGUUCUAUUUUGUUGGUUUUUGGAAUCGCCGUAAUGAUUAAUAGGGACAGUCGGGGGCAUUAGUACUCACAUGCUAGAGGUGAAAUUCUUGGAUUUUGUGAAGACUAACUUCUGCGAAAGCAUUUGCCAAGGAUGUUUUCAUUAA